GAAAUGCGAUAAGUAAUGUGAAUUGCAGAAUUCCGUGAAUCAUCGAAUCUUUGAACGCACAUUGCGCCCUCUGGCAUUCCGGGGGCAUGCCUGUCCGAGCGUCAUUACGCACCCUCAAGCCCGGCUUGUGUGAUGGGCCCCGGCGUCUCGUUCGCGAGACGGGCCCGAAAGGCAGCGGCGGCGUCGACCCGAUGAGCCCGAGCGUAUGGGGACUUCUGUCACACGUUCGCGGUGCGGACCGGUGCCUGCUUGACUUUUCUGAUUAUCCAGGUUGACCUCGGAUCAGGUAGGGAUACCCGCUGAACUUAAGC
This 311-nucleotide unclassified non-coding RNA is filed under the name plant metagenome. RNAcentral describes it as "partial contains 5.8S ribosomal RNA, internal transcribed spacer 2, and large subunit ribosomal RNA". The stretch from base 1 to 104 matches the Rfam family "5.8S ribosomal RNA", at positions 50 to 154 of the family's 154-position model. The record is from RNAcentral.